UCCUCUUCAGUUGAUUUGGAUUGUGGAUU
This 29-nucleotide non-coding RNA is filed under the name Mus musculus (house mouse). The record is from RNAcentral. Lineage: Eukaryota; Metazoa; Chordata; Mammalia; Rodentia; Muridae.